UACGUAGGUGGCGAGCGUUGUCCGGAUUUACUGGGCGUAAAGGGAGCGUAGGCGGACUUUUAAGUGAGAUGUGAAAUACCCGGGCUCAACUUGGGUGCUGCAUUUCAAACUGGAAGUCUAGAGUGCAGGAGAGGAGAAUGGAAUUCCUAGUGUAGCGGUGAAAUGCGUAGAGAUUAGGAAGAACACCAGUGGCGAAGGCGAUUCUCUGGACUGUAACUGACGCUGAGGCUCGAAAACGUGGGGAGCAAACAGGAUUAGAUACCCUGGUA
Molecule: ribosomal RNA, 269 nt
Filed under: uncultured prokaryote
Description: partial 16S ribosomal RNA
Rfam family: Bacterial small subunit ribosomal RNA
Source: RNAcentral